This 548-nucleotide ribosomal RNA is filed under the name uncultured bacterium. RNAcentral's name for it is "bacterial SSU rRNA". It matches the Rfam family "Bacterial small subunit ribosomal RNA", at positions 356 to 896 of the family's 1533-position model. The record is from RNAcentral.
GGGGAACUUUGGACAAUGGGCGCAAGCCUGAUCCAGCCAUGCCGCGUGUCUGAAGAAGGCCUUCGGGUUGUAAAGGACUUUUGUCAGGGAAGAAAAGGCUGUUGCUAAUAUCGACAGUUGAUGACGGUACCUGAAGAAUAAGCACCGGCUAACUACGUGCCAGCAGCCGCGGUAAUACGUAGGGUGCGAGCGUUAAUCGGAAUUACUGGGCGUAAAGCGAGCGCAGACGGUUACUUAAGCAGGAUGUGAAAUCCCCGGGCUCAACCUGGGAACUGCGUUCUGAACUGGGUGACUAGAGUGUGUCAGAGGGAGGUAGAAUUCCACGUGUAGCAGUAAAAUGCGUAGAGAUGUGGAGGAAUACCGAUGGCGAAGGCAGCCUCCUGGGAUAACACUGACGUUCAUGCUCGAAAGCGUGGGUAGCAAACAGGAUUAGAUACCCUGGUAGUCCACGCCCUAAACGAUGUCAAUUAGCUGUUGGGCAACUUGAUUGCUUAGUAGCGUAGCUAACGCGUGAAAUUGACCGCCUGGGGAGUACGGUCGCAAGAUUA